RNAcentral lists this ribosomal RNA (650 nucleotides) under Sarcocystis speeri. RNAcentral's name for it is "SSU rRNA". It matches the Rfam family "Eukaryotic small subunit ribosomal RNA", at positions 158 to 801 of the family's 1831-position model. Lineage: Eukaryota; Apicomplexa; Conoidasida; Eucoccidiorida; Sarcocystidae. The record is from RNAcentral.
UAUGGGCUAAUACAUGCGCACAUGCCUCUUCCCUCGUGGAAGGGUAGUGUUUAUUAGAUACAGAACCAACCCACCUUCGGGUGGUCCUCAGGUGAUUCAUAGUAACCGAACGGAUCGCAUUAUGGCCUUUUGGUCGGCGAUGGAUCAUUCAAGUUUCUGACCUAUCAGCUUUCGACGGUACUGUAUUGGACUACCGUGGCAGUGACGGGUAACGGGGAAUUAGGGUUCGAUUCCGGAGAGGGAGCCUGAGAAACGGCUACCACAUCUAAGGAAGGCAGCAGGCGCGCAAAUUACCCAAUCCUGACUCAGGGAGGUAGUGACAAGAAAUAACAACACUGGAAAUUAUAUUUCUAGUGAUUGGAAUGAUGGGAAUCCAAACCCCUUUCAGAGUAACAAUUGGAGGGCAAGUCUGGUGCCAGCAGCCGCGGUAAUUCCAGCUCCAAUAGCGUAUAUUAAAGUUGUUGCAGUUAAAAAGCUCGUAGUUGGAUAUCUGCUGGAAGCAGCCAGUCCGCCCUUUGUGGGUGUGCACUUGGUGAAUUCUGGCAUCCUCCUGAUUGGUGUUAUCAUCACUUCAUUGUGUUGAUGGCAGCUGUCAGGACCGUUACUUUGAGAAAAUUAGAGUGUUUCAAGCAGGCUUGUUGCCUUGAAUA